This 420-nucleotide ribosomal RNA is filed under the name uncultured bacterium. RNAcentral describes it as "bacterial SSU rRNA". It matches the Rfam family "Bacterial small subunit ribosomal RNA", at positions 356 to 773 of the family's 1533-position model. The record is from RNAcentral.
AGGGAAUAUUGGGCAAUGGACGCAAGUCUGACCCAGCCAUGCCGCGUGCAGGAUGACGGUCCUCUGGAUUGUAAACUGCUUUUUUAUGGGAAGAAACCUUCGGAUGCGUCCGAAGCUGACGGUACCAUAAGAAUAAGGAUCGGCUAACUUCGUGCCAGCAGCCGCAGUAAGACGAAGGAUUCAAGCGUUGUCCGGAUUUACUGGGUUUAAAGGGUGCGUAGGCGGAAAAUUAAGUCAGUGGUGAAAUCCCGCAGCUCAACUGCGGAACUGCCAUUGAAACUGAUUUUCUUGAAUACAGUUGAGGUAGAUGGAAUAUAACAUGUAGCGGUGAAAUGCUUAGAUAUGUUAUAGAACACCAAUUGCGAAGGCAGUCUGCUAAGCUGUGAGUGACGCUGAGGCACGAAAGCGUGGGGAGCGAAC